Fukomys damarensis (Damara mole-rat) is the source of this 127-nucleotide small nuclear RNA. Its record names the gene U4. It matches the Rfam family "U4 spliceosomal RNA". From Rfam's summary of the family: U4 small nuclear RNA (U4 snRNA) is a component of the major U2-dependent spliceosome. The structure of U4 snRNA from yeast and human has been reported. The record is from Ensembl. Lineage: Eukaryota; Metazoa; Chordata; Mammalia; Rodentia; Bathyergidae.
AGCUUUGUGCAGUGGCAGUACCAUAGCCAAUGAGGUUUAUCCGAGGCGCAAUUAUUGCUAAUUGAAAGUAGGUCCUAAAGGACAGGGAUUGCAUCUCGGGGAUGUCCUCCCUCAGGCCUCUUCUGGU